Aedes albopictus (Asian tiger mosquito) is the source of this 4092-nucleotide long non-coding RNA. RefSeq lists it as uncharacterized. The transcript is spliced from 2 exons. The record is from RefSeq and is a predicted model, not a curated record. NCBI's taxonomy places the organism in Eukaryota, Metazoa, Arthropoda, Insecta, Diptera, Culicidae.
UUGAGACCAUUCUGAGCAUAACACUUCUUUAGGAAUUUUUCCAAGGACACCUUCAGAAAUUCCUCCAGGAAAUUUUUUUCUUUAAACCACCAGCAAAUCUUCCAGAGAAACAUCCUGGAAUUCCUCCGGAAUUUCUUUACGAAAUUUCUCACCUCCGAUAACUCCUCUAGGGAUUCCUUCAGUAAUUUCUCUAAAGCUUUCCUCCCGGUCUACCUCAGGACUUUCUCCAGAGUUUCCUCCAGAGAUUCCUCCAAAAAUCCCUCCAAGAAUUCCUUCAAAGAUUCCUCCAGAAAUUUCUCUAGGGAUUCUCCAAGGAAUUGCUCAAGCAAUCCCUCCAGAAAUUCCUUCAAAAUUCCUGGAGAAUUUCUUCAAGCAUUCCUCCAGGAAUUUCUUCAAGGAUCCCUCCAGAAAAUUCCUUCAGGCAUUCCUCCAGAAAAUUCCUUCAAGGAUUCCUCCAGAAAAAUCCUUCAAGAAUUCUUCCAGAAACUCCUUCAAGGAUUCUUUUAGGGAUUACUUCAAGGAUUCCUCUAGGAAUUCCUUCAAGCAUUCCUCCAGGAAUUUCUUCAAGGAUCCCUCCAGAAAAUUCCUCCAGGGAUUCCUCCAGAAAAUUCCUUCAAAUAUUCCUCCAGAAAUUCCGUCAAGGAGUCCUCCCGGAUUUUCUUCAAAGAUUCCUCCAGAAACUUCUUCAAGGAUUCUUCCAGGGAUUCCUUCAAGGAUUCCUCCAGAAAAUUCCUUCAAGGAUUCCUCCAGCAAGUUCAUUCAAGGUAUACUCCAGAAAUUCCUUCGAUAAUUCCUCCAGGGAUUCCUUCAAGGAUUCCUCCAGGAAUUCCUUUGAGGAGAUUGCUCCAGGAAUUCCUUCAAAGAGAUUCCUCCAGAAAUUCCUUCACGGAUCUCUCCAGAACAUUCCUUCAGGGAUUCCUCCAGAAAAUUCCUUCAAGGAUUUCUCCAGAAAGCUCCUUCAAGGUAUACUCCAUAAAUUCUGUCAAGGAUCACUCCUGGAAUUCCUCCAGAAACUUCUUCAAGGAUUCCUGCAAAAAAAUCCUUCAGGGAUUCCUUCAGAAAAUUCCUUCAAGGAUUCCUCCAGAAAGAUCCUUCAAGGUAUACUCCAGAAAUUCUUUCAAUGAUUCUUCCAGGGAUUCCUUCAAGGAUUCCUCCAGAAAGUUCCUUCAAGCAUUCCUCAGGAAAUUCCUUCAGGAAAUUCCUUCAGGGAUUCCUCCAGGAAUUCCUCCAAGCAUUCCUCCAGGAAUGCCUUCAAGGAGAUUACUUCAGGAAUUCCUUCAAGGAUCCCUCCAGAAAAUUUCUAAAGGAAUCCCUGGAGAAUUUCUUGGAUGAAUCUCUGGAGGAAUUCCUGGAGGAACUCUUAGAGGAAUUCUUGGAGGAUUUCUUUUUGAGGAAUUCUUGAAGGAGUUCCUGAAGGAAUCCUUGGAGGAAUUUCUGGAAGAAUCCUUGGAGGAAAUUUUGAAGGGUUUCUUAAAACAAUGCCUGGACAAUUUCUGGGAGGUACUCUGGAGGGAAUUCUUGGAGGAAUCCUUGGAAAAAUUCCUGAAGGAAUCCCUGGAAGAUUUUUUUUGGAGGAAUCUCUGCAGGAGUAUCUGAAUUAAUCCCUGAAAGAAUUCUUGGAGGAAUCCAUGAAGGAAUUCCUCAAGGAAUCUUUAGAGAAACUUCUUGAGGAAUCUCUGGAGAAAUUCCUGGAGGAACUCCUGCAGGAAUCUCUGGAGAAACGUCUUUAAGAAUUCCUGAAAGAAUCCCCGGAGGAAUUUCUGGAGGAAUCCCGUGAGGAAUGCCUGAAGGAAUCUCUGGAGGAAUUCCUGGAGGAUUUCUGGGGAGUACUGUGGAGAAAUUCUUGGAGGAAUCCUUGACAAAAUUCCUUGAGAAAUUUAUGGAGGAAUGUCUGCAGGAAUCUCUUAAGGAACCCCUGGAGGAGUUCUUGGAGAAAUUCGUGAAGGAAUCCUUGGAGGAAUUCCUGGAGGAAUCCCUGAAAAAAAGUCUGUGAGAAUUUCUGGGGGUAUCUUUGGAGGAAUUCCUGGAGGAUUUCCUGUAGGAAUCCCGGGAAGAAUUCUCGGAGGUACAGGGGAUGGCCAAAAUGUUUGGGAUAGGCAACUUUUUUUUCUCUCACAAAAAGUUGAACAUGCUAUAACUUUUCAAAGAGCGCAUAAAAAAAUCUCAAAUUUUGACUGUUUGUCAACCUAUUAUAUGUGCAUCAUUGGUAUAAAUUUGAGCUCGAUUGAUUAAUCUUUCGCAAAGUUAGAACCAUUUGCGUAAAACACUAUUUUUCAGACAACUCAUUUUUGAGCUGUCAUAACCAGUGAACCGAAUUGAAUGAAAUAACAAUAUGUAAAUUCUUCACAAACUAUUAAAACAUAGGUACUUUUUAAACGUUGAAAAAAGUUAUCAUGGAUUGACACUUUUUGGAUUUUUCUCGAAAAAAAUGUAAUUUUUUCACAUCAAUGUCAAUGAAUGUUAGUGUUGAUAUCCAAAGAUUUUCCACUUCUGUUCUCAAAUUAUCUCAAAUCAGAUAUAUUAAAGCCUAUUUAGAUUGAAGGAAGAAAACAUUUAAUAAUUUUUGUGUGGUAUUGUAAAUUUGACUUAUUAUCCUCUAUAUGGGUAAAAAUUUCAACCCGGUAUAACUUAAUUCGCCGGGAGAAAAUAUUACAUUUCAUAACGUCGUAUUAAGUAUCAAAAUAUUGUUAAGAAACGUUUAAAAAUUCAUUCAAUUCGGUUCACUGGUUUCCGAGAUAUGACAGCUCAAAAAUGAGUUGUCUGAAAAAUAGUGUUUUACGCGAACGGUUCUAACUUUGCGAAAGAUUAAUCAAUCGAGCUCAAAUAUGUACCAAUGAUGCACAUAUAAUAGGUUGACAAACAGUCAAAAUUUUAGAUUUUUUGAUGAACUCUAUGAAAAAUUACAGCAUGUUGAAUUUUUUUGUGGGAGAAAAAAAGUUGCCUAUCCCAAACAUUUUGGCCAUCCCCUGUAUCUCUGGAUGAAUCCUUGGAGAAAUUCCUGUAGGAACCUGUGGAGGAUUUCUUGGAGGAAUCCUUGGAGGAAUUCUUAAAGGGAUUCUUGGAGAACUCCUAAAGGAAUUCCUGAAAAAAUCCUUGGAGGAAUUCCUGGAAGAUUCACAGGAGCAAUUAUUGAAAGAAUCCCUGGAGGAUUUCCGGGAGGUGCUCUGGAAAAAUUCCUGGAGGUAUUCUUGGUGCAAUUCCUGAAGGAAUCCUUGGAAAAAUCCCUGGACGAAUUGUUGGAGGAAUCUAUGCAGGAAUCUCUGAAAAAAUCCCUGAAGGAAUUCGUGAAGGAGUUCCUGAAGGAAUCCUUGGAGAAAUUCCUGCAGGAAUCCCUAGAGGAAUUCCCGGAGGAAUUCCUGGAGAAAUUCCUGGAGGAAUCCCAUGUGGAAUCUCUGAAGGAAUCCCUGGGAAAAUGUCUGUGAGAAUUCCUGGGGGUAUAUUUGGAGGAAUUUCUGGAGGAAUUCCUGAAGGAAUCCCUGGAGGAUUUGCGGAGGAAUUAUUGGAAGAAUCUCCGGAGAAACUCCUGGAGGAAUUCUUGGAGGUAUUCAUGAAGGAAUUCCUGGAGCAUUCCUUGGAGGAAGUUGUUUGUUAAAUAAUAAUAUUUAGUUAUUUCCCUAAGAUAUCUACGCGUACUUUCCAUAAGCUUGUGAGAUAUUUGAUUUGAGAAAAAUAUGGUAACACAACAAUAGAGAACAGAUGCUUAAAAAAAGCUAAAAUGGAACCACCGAUAAUUGCCACAUUUAAUACAUAAAUUUCCUUAGCUUAAUUUUUGAGAAAAAAAUGAGAAAACUACAACAAGUAUUUGCAACGAAAUCUGGAAACAUCAGCAAAACAAAUGAACGACCCGUUUUACUGAAGAUUUGGACCAGUUGUGUUCUUCUGCAAAAUUAGAAAUACCUUUGGUUUCAGGUAAAAUUAUCAUGAUAAACCUUAAGUUCACAUUACUAAAGAUAAAUUGUCUUUUGCAGAUCCACAAGGCUGAGGAAUGGAACAAAAAUCCCAUCGGUAAAGGCCAUGUUUUCCGCCUUCAUGCAACAAGAGAAAAACACAGCUUUCGGUAUUGCAAUAGGACUAUUAAUAACACAAAAUAAA